CAGGACUGAAAUGUAGCAACACCCAGCAGAAACCGCGGGUUCUAUG
Molecule: non-coding RNA, 46 nt
Filed under: Paraphysomonas bandaiensis
Lineage: Eukaryota; Chrysophyceae; Chromulinales; Paraphysomonadaceae
Source: RNAcentral